AGAGUUUGAUUAUGGCUCAGGAUGAACGCUGGCGGCGUGCUUAACACAUGCAAGUCGUAACGGAGUUUUUAAACGGAAGUUUUCGGAUGGAAGUUUAGAAACUUAGUGGCGGACGGGUGAGUAACGCGUGGGUAACCUGCCUCAUACAGGGGGAUAACAGUUAGAAAUGACUGCUAACACCGCAUAAUAUAGCGAAACCGCAUGAUUUUUGCUAUCAAAUAUUUAUAGGUAUGAGAUGGGCCCGCGUCUGAUAAGCUAGUUGUGGGGUAAAAGCCUACCAAGGCGACGAUCAGUAGCCGGCUUGAGAGAGUGACCGGCCACAUUGGGACUGAGACACGGCCCAAACUCCUACGGGAGGCAGCAGUGGGGAAUAUUGGACAAUGGGGGAAACCCUGAUCCAGCGAACCGCCGCGUGAGUGAAGAAGUAUUUCGGUAUGUAAAGCUCUAUCAGCAGGGAAGAUAAUGACAGUACCUGACUAAGAAGCCCCGGCUAACUACGUGCCAGCCGCUGC
RNAcentral lists this ribosomal RNA (512 nucleotides) under uncultured bacterium. RNAcentral describes it as "bacterial SSU rRNA". It matches the Rfam family "Bacterial small subunit ribosomal RNA", at positions 8 to 518 of the family's 1533-position model. The record is from RNAcentral.